This 563-nucleotide ribosomal RNA is filed under the name uncultured bacterium. RNAcentral's name for it is "bacterial SSU rRNA". It matches the Rfam family "Bacterial small subunit ribosomal RNA", at positions 331 to 904 of the family's 1533-position model. The record is from RNAcentral.
CCAGACUCCUACGGGAGGCAGCAGUGGGGAAUAUUGCACAAUGGGCGGAAGCCUGAUGCAGCAACGCCGCGUGCGGGAUGACGGCCUUCGGGUUGUAAACCGCUUUCGCCUGUGACGAAGCGUGAGUGACGGUAAUGGGUAAAGAAGCACCGGCUAACUACGUGCCAGCAGCCGCGGUGAUACGUAGGGUGCGAGCGUUGUCCGGAUUUAUUGGGCGUAAAGGGCUCGUAGGUGGUUGAUCGCGUCGGAAGUGUAAUCUUGGGGCUUAACCCUGAGCGUGCUUUCGAUACGGGUUGACUUGAGGAAGGUAGGGGAGAAUGGAAUUCCUGGUGGAGCGGUGGAAUGCGCAGAUAUCAGGAGGAACACCAGUGGCGAAGGCGGUUCUCUGGGCCUUUCCUGACGCUGAGGAGCGAAAGCGUGGGGAGCGAACAGGCUUAGAUACCCUGGUAGUCCACGCUGUAAACGGUGGGUACUAGGUGUGGGGUCCAUUCCACGGGUUCCGUGCCGUAGCUAACGCUUUAAGUACCCCGCCUGGGGAGUACGGCCGCAAGGCUAAAACUCAU